This 425-nucleotide ribosomal RNA is filed under the name uncultured bacterium. RNAcentral's name for it is "partial 16S ribosomal RNA". It matches the Rfam family "Bacterial small subunit ribosomal RNA", at positions 354 to 796 of the family's 1533-position model. The record is from RNAcentral.
GUGGGGAAUCUUGCGCAAUGGGCGAAAGCCUGACGCAGCCAUGCCGCGUGAAUGAUGAAGGUCUUAGGAUUGUAAAAUUCUUUCACCGGGGACGAUAAUGACGGUACCCGGAGAAGAAGCUCCGGCUAACUUCGUGCCAGCAGCCGCGGUAAUACGAAGGGGGCUAGCGUUGCUCGGAAUUACUGGGCGUAAAGGGCGCGUAGGCGGACAGCUUAGUCAGAGGUGAAAGCCCAGGGCUCAACCUUGGAAUUGCCUUUGAUACUGGCUGUCUUGAGUUUGGGAGAGGUGAGUGGAACUCCGAGUGUAGAGGUGAAAUUCGUAGAUAUUCGGAAGAACACCAGUGGCGAAGGCGACUCACUGGCCCAAUACUGACGCUGAGGCACGAAAGCGUGGGGAGCAAACAGGAUUAGAUACCCGGGUAGUCC